GACGAACCGUGCGAACGUUAUUCGGAAUCACUGGGCUUAAAGCGCGUGUAGGCGGGCCAUCACGUCGGUCGCUGAAAGCCCCCGGCUCAACCGGGGAACCGGCGCCGAUACGAGUGGCCUGGAGGGGGGUAGGGGGACCUGGAACUUCCGGUGGAGCGGUGAAAUGCGUUGAGAUCGGAAGGAACGCCCGUGGCGAAAGCGAGGUCCUGGACGUCUACUGACGCUGAGACGCGAAAGCUAGGGGAGCGAACGGG
This 254-nucleotide ribosomal RNA is filed under the name uncultured bacterium. RNAcentral describes it as "partial 16S ribosomal RNA". It matches the Rfam family "Bacterial small subunit ribosomal RNA", at positions 524 to 776 of the family's 1533-position model. The record is from RNAcentral.